RNAcentral lists this long non-coding RNA (297 nucleotides) under Mytilus galloprovincialis (Mediterranean mussel). Lineage: Eukaryota; Metazoa; Mollusca; Bivalvia; Mytilida; Mytilidae. The record is from RNAcentral.
GGAGACCAGACUGUAUCAGCUGGAAAUUAUUAGACCGUUGAUCAUGAACUCGACUAAACUUAAACAUUAAACAUUCUCCUACAUACAAGUAAGGAAAUAAAAGAACAUAAUCCCCAAAGCGUAUAAUUCUAAACUGCCAUAGUCUUGUCUUGUAUGAGGAUCCUGUUUUUCAAAGGCACACCUCUGUCUCUGGUUUCAAAUUCAGAAUCCGAGUAAAGAAAGGGUGUGUUUUUUUACUAUUUAACCAGAGACAGCCUAUACUUAUACAUGUAGUACUAAUAGACUGAUUAACACCCA